UACGUAGGGUGCAAGCGUUGUUCGGAAUUCCUGGGCGUAAAGCGCGUGUAGGCGGUUCGUAAAGUCGGAUGUGAAAGCCCUGGGCUUAACCCAGGAAGUGCAUUCGAAACUCACGAACUUGAGUCCCGGAGAGGAAGGCGGAAUUCUCGGUGUAGAGGUGAAAUUCGUAGAUAUCGAGAGGAACAUCGGUGGCGAAGGCGGCCUUCUGGACGGUGACUGACGCUGAGACGCGAAAGCGUGGGGAGCAAACAGG
RNAcentral lists this ribosomal RNA (253 nucleotides) under uncultured bacterium. RNAcentral describes it as "partial 16S ribosomal RNA". It matches the Rfam family "Bacterial small subunit ribosomal RNA", at positions 524 to 776 of the family's 1533-position model. The record is from RNAcentral.